Molecule: long non-coding RNA, 211 nt
Filed under: Elaeis guineensis (African oil palm)
Lineage: Eukaryota; Viridiplantae; Streptophyta; Magnoliopsida; Arecales; Arecaceae
Description: long non-coding RNA (EGUI_LNC031622)
Source: RNAcentral
CUCCUUUAUAGUUUGCUCUCUCUAUAUGUUUGAGUUUGCCUCAUUAAUAAAUAGAUCUUAGUUGUACUCUUUUGAUAUCAAGAAUUUAUCAAUAAAAUUUUUAGAAGACUUUCUUUCUAUAAUUUGCUUGUUGUGAUGUGAGACCACGAUCAUAGCAGCAACUAGUGUAAGAUCGAAAACUUCGAGUGAUCCCCAAAGAUGUUCUAGGUGC